UUUUUUUGACAGUUGGCUUCCUUUUGGGUCAGGUCACACGUGGAGUUUGAGCCCCAGCUUGUGUCCCAGGCAGCUCAGUUAGUCCUUGGACCUCCCCUGUGC
Molecule: non-coding RNA, 102 nt
Organism: Ceratotherium simum simum (southern white rhinoceros)
Lineage: Eukaryota; Metazoa; Chordata; Mammalia; Perissodactyla; Rhinocerotidae
Source: RefSeq, a predicted model, not a curated record